UGCCCCAUAGUCUGGGAUACCACUUGGAAACAGGUGCUAAUACCGGAUAAGAAAGCGGAUCGCAUGAUCAGCUUUUAAAAGGCGGCGUAAGCUGUCGCUAUGGGAUGGCCCCGCGGUGCAUUAGCUAGUUGGUAAGGUAAAGGCUUACCAAGGCGAUGAUGCAUAGCCGAGUUGAGAGACUGAUCGGCCACAUUGGGACUGAGACACGGCCCAAACUCCUACGGGAGGCAGCAGCU
Molecule: ribosomal RNA, 236 nt
Filed under: uncultured Lactobacillus sp.
Lineage: Bacteria; Bacillati; Bacillota; Bacilli; Lactobacillales; Lactobacillaceae
Description: partial 16S ribosomal RNA
Rfam family: Bacterial small subunit ribosomal RNA
Source: RNAcentral